UGGGGAAUAUUGGGCAAUGGGCGCAAGCCUGACCCAGCCAUGCCGCGUGAGUGAUGAAGGCCUUCGGGUCGUAAAGCUCUGUGGGGAGGGAAGAAAAACCUUGUGGCUAAUAUCCACGAGGCUUGACGGUACCUCCUUAGCAAGCACCGGCUAACUCCGUGCCAGCAGCCGCGGUAAUACGGAGGGUGCAAACGUUGCUCGGAAUCAUUGGGCGUAAAGCGCACGUAGGCGGCCUGUUAAGUCGGAUGUGAAAGCCCCGGGCUCAACUCGGGAAGUGCAUUCGAAACUGGCAGGCUUGAAUAUGGAAGAGGGUCGCGGAAUUCCCGGUGUAGAGGUGAAAUUCGUAGAUAUCGGGAGGAACACCAGUGGCGAAGGCGGCGACCUGGGCCAAUAUUGACGCUGAGGUGCGAAAGCGUGGGGAGCAAACAGG
RNAcentral lists this ribosomal RNA (430 nucleotides) under uncultured bacterium. Its description in RNAcentral is "bacterial SSU rRNA". It matches the Rfam family "Bacterial small subunit ribosomal RNA", at positions 355 to 776 of the family's 1533-position model. The record is from RNAcentral.